GGAGUUUUAAAAAGUCGGUGAUUCGAAACGCAGUUUACGUGUGGACGAAACAGCUGCGUUGUCAAAAAUACCCGUGUAGGUGCGGACGUAGCAUAAAAGAGUUAGUAGUUUAUUUUAUUACUACCUGUAAUUUAUUGCAGUUUACUUGUAUUUGCUUAAUUGUUUACUAAAUGUUUGAGGUGUGAAAUAAACUGCAAUGGAGCAAAAUAAGGGUGUGUGCGUGCGAGGGGGGGCGCGAACAUUUUUCUUGUAAAACAGGGGUGUCAAACUCAAAUACACAGUGGGCCAAAAUUCAAAACUGGAACAAAGUCGCGGGCUAACAUUAAUAUUUAUUGAAAAAAAAAAAAUCUUCCUCUAGAUAUAAGAAUGAAUCUUUUCUUAUGGACUCAAACAAGUUUUGCUGAAAAACUGAAUAUGGAGCAAGCAAAGCUUAAUACUAAACAAUAUAUAUAUUAGCUGUAUAAUACCAGUAGGCCAGCUCUAAUAGUAAUUUGGUAUGGCUUCGCGGGCCAAAUGUAAUUAGGCUGCGGGCCAAAUUUGGCCCGCGGGCCAGAGUUUGACACCUAUGUUGUAAAACAAAGGGGGGCCUAGCAAAAAAAAUUUGGGAACCACUGGCUUAGGGUAAGAUGACAGCCAGCAGCUUGUUAGCUUAGCCAGGCUUUUUCUUUUGUAUUCGUUUUUUUAUCCACCUGCUGCUCUAGCUCUAUGUUUAGCAAACAUUUACAACCCUGGAUUUACUUCAGAGCAUGGAAACUCACAUAUAUGUUGCAAAAAAAAAGGCAAUAAACAGUCUACGAAUUUAAAUCAGCUACAUUUAUGCUGGUUAUACUACAAAAAAGUGCAGAGCUACCCGCUGUGGUGACCCCUUGUGGCAAUGGAGCAGCCAAAACUUGCUUUUUAUAUACUAUUGAUUGAAGUCGUAUACAUAUUAUACAGAUUUUGGCUCAUGAGCAAGAAAAAAAAAACAUGAAUAUCAUCCAAGACAAAAACAUGAAUGUAAUACUGCUUUCACUUUCACGUGAUUUGAACACUACACAAGACUGGCAGCCAGCUGAGUUGACAAGAUGGUGCAUUAGCAUUGCCAAUAAGUAUGAAAUGGACGAGGGGGCGGUUGUUAGUCACCCACAGAUAUUUAAAGACAAGCAUCUGCAGUGUGCUCUUGUAUUAAAAGGUAUUUGUGUGCAGGCUGUGUGUUUCCUGUAUAUGAUGGAUUGACUAGUAAAUAUGUGAUGGUACAAAAAAAAAGAAGGAAAAUAAGGCCUUGAUUUAAAAAGAAAAGGAAGAUUUAUCUAUAACAGAUUGACUACUUUAACUCUGCUGUUUGAGACUUCUCAGACUUAACUGAGAAGUUAUACUGAGUCCCGUCCGUCUAGCUGAUCAGAAAAGCAUUUUUUAAUGCUUCAAAGUAAAAUGUAAGUCUUUCCAUCCUGAGAGCUGACCUAAGUGAAGCUGUGUUUGACGAGGGAUUGGCUGGUGUUGUGCUAGAGCAUGAUUGUACACAUUGAGGUGGAUACACCCUCUGAGCAUGUAUUCACAAGUGCACGUCAUGUGAGCGCUUUGGAAUUCAGGCAAUGUAGGGAAACAUUUUCUUCCACCAAUAAAAAGUUCUUGUGUUCUUCUACUGCAACUUUCAAUUUCGGCGUUUCGACUCCUAUCUUCUGUUUUCACACACCAGACAACUGAGUGUGUAAAUAAGUUCACUUACUAAAAUGUCUCGCUGACUGUUUGAGAUGUCUGAUGCGCCACGUGGUGAAAAUGUAUGCAUCUCUUUCUUUCUUUCUUUCUUUCUUUCUUUCUUUCUUUCUUUCUUUCUUUCUUUCUUUCUUUCUUUCUUUCUUUCUU
Long non-coding RNA from Astatotilapia calliptera (eastern happy), 1842 nucleotides. NCBI's taxonomy places the organism in Eukaryota, Metazoa, Chordata, Actinopteri, Cichliformes, Cichlidae. The record is from Ensembl.